RNAcentral lists this long non-coding RNA (566 nucleotides) under Brachypodium distachyon (stiff brome). RNAcentral describes it as "long non-coding RNA (BDIS_LNC003427)". Lineage: Eukaryota; Viridiplantae; Streptophyta; Magnoliopsida; Poales; Poaceae. The record is from RNAcentral.
AGCAAGCGGGUUGUUUAUUUCGCUCGUGCUAUUAAAUUAGCGAUCGUUGCUAGAUUUUUUUUUUGUGGAGCACACUUGUCAACAGAUAAAAGGUCCUGCGAUGUCUUUUUACACAGCUCAAGCUAUGGCGCCCCCUGUAGGGGACAAGAUAUGAUCAUAUAUGUAUAUGAUCGAGCCUUCGGUUUGACCUUAGUUUUCCUUUUCUUUCACUUAAUUAAAUCACAAACCAGCAGUUUUAUAUUCUUCAAAAUUAUAAUCUCCAAUCAUUAAAAAAACGGUUCUCACAAAAAAAACAUUAAAAAAGGGAAUUGCUAAUGCAAGGUUGUACGUAACUAACUAGACACGUAGAGCUUCAAAUAUGGAUCAAGUCCGGAGAAGAUGAUCAAGCAGAGCGGUACAUGUCCUAUUGUUGAUUGAGAAAUCGUUUCUCAUGGACCGAUCCAUGGCCAUAAAAAAAAGACGUUUAAACAAUAAUACCAUUUUUCAGUUUUCAAAAUGUAAGUUUAAGCACUAAUCUGUACUGUAAUUACAAAACCUAAUAAAAUUGCCACAUUACGCAUGGGAAG